CCAAUGGACGAGCGGCUAGGAAUAUCGAUUGGAAAGCAUGCAAAUGUCCACAACAACCGGGAGGUGUUGAGUGCGGAUAUUAUGUGAUGCGAUACAUGUUUGAUAUUGUGACAAAAUACUCAACUCUUGAUAAUUUAGAUGGGGUAUUUGAAAUCAAUUCGUACUCUACCAACGAAAUUGAAGAGAUUCGAGAAUAUUGGGCAAAAUACUUCUUGGAAGAGUGCUUGUAAUUUGUUUUUAGAUUAAGUAUUAUCUUUUGUUUAUAACUUAUUAUUGUGUUGAAAGUAUUUGCUUGGAUUAUUUUAUGAGAUUAUUAUAUUGCAUUGCAUGUGUUAAAAGUAGUG
Molecule: long non-coding RNA, 344 nt
Organism: Ipomoea triloba (trilobed morning glory)
Lineage: Eukaryota; Viridiplantae; Streptophyta; Magnoliopsida; Solanales; Convolvulaceae
Exons: 3
Source: RefSeq, a predicted model, not a curated record